AAUUUUUUUAAAAAUUAAAAAUUAAAAAAAUGAUAGAAAAAUAGCUAUAUGAUUCUAUCAUUCCUUUUGCAUUUGUUAACUAUAAUUAUUCUACGAAGAACUUGGCCUUAACAACUAUUUGGUGGCCUUGAGGUAUUAUUGGAACAGAAAAGGCAGGAAGAAUGCUGAUUCUUUUCGGUUUCCAGACUGUGAGUUGUUUUCCAGGCAUCAUCCAAAGUUAUCAAUUAUUUUUAAUUUUUUUGCACUUAUAGAUUUUAAUAUUUUUGAUGUAUUCCAAUACAUUAUACUUAUUAUUCUUUUUGAUGCUCAGAUUCUUUCACCUUUGAGAAGUGGGAACCCCUUUCAGCUGGCUCCCAUGUCUUUUGAGAUGAACUUGAUUGCCUUCAAGUGUUUUCUUGCUUUCUGGUAUGACAAGAGGGAGAGAGAGCAUAAGCAUGAGGGCCAGAAGGAGACAGAGAAA
This 460-nucleotide long non-coding RNA is filed under the name Mustela putorius furo (domestic ferret). Its description in RNAcentral is "lncRNA (ENSMPUG00000031843.1)". The record is from RNAcentral. Lineage: Eukaryota; Metazoa; Chordata; Mammalia; Carnivora; Mustelidae.